Molecule: ribosomal RNA, 425 nt
Filed under: uncultured Desulfobulbus sp.
Lineage: Bacteria; Pseudomonadati; Thermodesulfobacteriota; Desulfobulbia; Desulfobulbales; Desulfobulbaceae
Description: bacterial SSU rRNA
Rfam family: Bacterial small subunit ribosomal RNA
Source: RNAcentral
CAACGCGAAGAACCUUACCAGGCCUUGACAUGCAGAGAACUUUCCAGAGAUGGAUUGGUGCCUUCGGGAACUCUGACACAGGUGCUGCAUGGCUGUCGUCAGCUCGUGUCGUGAGAUGUUGGGUUAAGUCCCGCAACGAGCGCAACCCUUGCCUUUAGUUGCCAGCAGUUCGGCUGGGCACUCUAAAGGGACUGCCGGUGUUAAACCGGAGGAAGGUGGGGAUGACGUCAAGUCCUCAUGGCCUUUAUGACCAGGGCUACACACGUACUACAAUGGCCGAUACAAAGGGCAGCGACACUGCGAGGUGAAGCCAAUCCCGUAAAAUCGGUCUCAGUCCGGAUUGGAGUCUGCAACUCGACUCCAUGAAGUUGGAAUCGCUAGUAAUCGUGGAUCAGCAUGCCACGGUGAAUACGUUCCCGGGCCUU